GAGCGUCGGUGGAAGGCGGACAGGAUGCUGAAGUUUUACAACGGCCUCUCGGAAGUGGAGGCGGUGGGACUCCCUGCGGGGACCGACCCCCUGGACCCCACUGAUAUGAACGGGGUACACUUCGACCCGGAAGUUUACCUAGACAAGCUUCCUAGAGAGUGCCCUCUGGCCCAGCUGAUGGAUAGUGAGACGGACAUGGUGCAGCAGAUCCGGGCUCUAGACAGCAACAUGCAAACCCUGGUCUAUGAGAACUACGAUAAGUUC
Molecule: long non-coding RNA, 264 nt
Filed under: Homo sapiens (human)
Lineage: Eukaryota; Metazoa; Chordata; Mammalia; Primates; Hominidae
Description: non-protein coding lnc-PRR23D1-1:1
Source: RNAcentral